This 253-nucleotide ribosomal RNA is filed under the name uncultured bacterium. RNAcentral describes it as "partial 16S ribosomal RNA". It matches the Rfam family "Bacterial small subunit ribosomal RNA", at positions 524 to 776 of the family's 1533-position model. The record is from RNAcentral.
AACGUAGGAGACAAACGUUAUCCGGAGUUACUGGGCGUAAAGGGCGUGUAGGUGGUUUCGUAAGUCUGGCGUGAAAUUUUUCGGCUUAACCGGGAAAGGUCGUCGGAUACUGCGGAACUAGAGGACGGUAGAGGCGUGUGGAACUCCAGGUGUAGUAGUGAAAUGCGUAGAUAUCUGGAAGAACACCAAUGGCGAAGGCAAUGUUCUGGCUCGUUUCUGACGCUCAGGUGCGAAAGCCAGGGGAGCGAACGGG